Molecule: non-coding RNA, 99 nt
Organism: Termitomyces sp. Mi166#008
Lineage: Eukaryota; Fungi; Basidiomycota; Agaricomycetes; Agaricales; Lyophyllaceae
Source: the annotation of a GenBank genome assembly
GGCCUAAUGGUCUAGUAGCAUGAUACCUCCUUCGGGCUUUUCACAGUAGAUUCUACUGAUAUGUGGAGGUGGUCCCGGGUUCAAUUCCCGGUUGGGCCC